Molecule: ribosomal RNA, 305 nt
Filed under: uncultured bacterium
Lineage: Bacteria
Description: bacterial SSU rRNA
Rfam family: Bacterial small subunit ribosomal RNA
Source: RNAcentral
GUCUCCUACGGGGCGCAGCAGUGGGGAAUAUUGCACAAUGGGGGGAACCCUGAUGUAGCGACGCCGCGUGAGUGAAGAAGUAUUUCGGUAUGUAAAGCUCUAUCAGCAGGGGAGAUAAUGACGGUACCUGACUAAGAAGCCCCGGCUAACUACGUGCCAGCAGCCGCGGUAAUACGUAGGGGGCAAGCGUUAUCCGGAUUUACUGGGUGUAAAGGGUGCGUAGGUGGCAGGGCAAGUCAGAUGUGAAAGCCCGGGGCCCAACCCCGGGGCUGCCUUUGAAACUGUCAGGCUGGAGUGCAGGAGAG